GAUGAACGCUGGCGGCGUGCCUAAUACAUGCAAGUCGAGCGAACAGACGAGGAGCUUGCUCCUCUGACGUUAGCGGCGGACGGGCGAGUAACACGUGGAUAACCUACCUAUAAGACUGGGAUAACUUAGGGAAACCGGAGCUAAUACCGGAUAAUAUAUUGAACCGCAUGGUUCAAUAGUGAAAGACGGUUUUGCUGUCACUUAUAGAUGGAUCCGCGCCGCAUUAGCUAGUUGGUAAGGUAACGGCUUACCAAGGCAACGAUGCGUAGCCGACCUGAGAGGGUGAUCGGCCACACUGGAACUGAGACACGGUCCAGACUCCUACGGGAGGCAGCAGUAGGGAAUCUUCCGCAAUGGGCGAAAGCCUGACGGAGCAACGCCGCGUGAGUGAUGAAGGUCUUCGGAUCGUAAAACUCUGUUAUUAGGGAAGAACAAAUGUGUAAGUAACUAUGCACGUCUUGACGGUACCUAAUCAGAAAGCCACGGCUAACUACGUG
Molecule: ribosomal RNA, 497 nt
Filed under: uncultured bacterium
Lineage: Bacteria
Description: partial 16S ribosomal RNA
Rfam family: Bacterial small subunit ribosomal RNA
Source: RNAcentral